Molecule: long non-coding RNA, 380 nt
Filed under: Gallus gallus (chicken)
Lineage: Eukaryota; Metazoa; Chordata; Aves; Galliformes; Phasianidae
Source: RNAcentral
GACGCUUUAAUUCGUGGGGAUACAUGCAAACAGGAGGACUUUUAGGGGGAGAGAACGUGGGGGUGGGGAGGGGGAGUCAAUAGGGGCGGCUAACACCAGGUGCAGCACGGAGCCACCCUGGAUCUUGUAGUCGGCCGCCGUCUUCUCGUCGUUCAUCUGCUUCCCGCUGUAGAUGAGCCGCUGCUGCUGGGGGGGGAUCCCCUCCUUCUCCUCCACGCGCUCCUUGAUGCGCUCCACCUUGUCGGUGGGUUCGAUGUCGAUCUCGAUCUCUUUCCCGGUCAGCGUCUUCACUUUGAUCAGCAUCGUGCCUCUGUGCCCGGCGCGCCGGAAGCGGAAGUGCGCGCAAGCCACGCCCACCCCGCUGCGCACCACUUCCUGCU